CUCAUAGCGUAUAUUAAUGUUGUUGCAGUUAAAAAGCUCGUAGUUGGAUUCCUGACCUGGGGUAGCCGGUCCGCCUUGCAAAAGGUGCGCACUGAGCGGCCUCGGUCAUCCUUGAGAAGAGCGGUCCUGGCAUUCAGUUGUCGGGGUCGGGAUUCUCGACGUUUACUGUGAAAAAAUCAGAGUGUUCAACGCAGGCUUACGCCUUGAAUACAUUAGCAUGGAAUAAUGAGAUAGGACCUUGGCGGUCUAUUUUGUUGGUUUGCACGCCGAGGUAAUGAUUAAAAGGGACGGUUGGGGUUCUUCGUAUUCAAUUGUCAGAGGUGAAAUUCUUGGAUUUAUGGAAGACGAACUGCUGCGAAAGCGUCGAACAAGGACGUUCUCAUUAAUCAAGAACGAAAGUUAGGGGAUCGAAGAUGAUUAGAUACCAUCGUAGUCUUAACCAUAAACUAUGCCGAUUCAGGAUUGGCGGUCGUUUGUUCUCGACUCCGUCAGCACUGUAUGAGAAAUCAAAAUCUUUGGGUUCCGGGGGGAGUAUGGUCGCAAGGCUGAAACUUAAAGAAAUUGACGGAAGGGCACCACCAGGAGUGGAGCCUGCGGCUUAAUUUGACUCAACACGGGGAAACUUAC
RNAcentral lists this ribosomal RNA (627 nucleotides) under uncultured eukaryote. RNAcentral's name for it is "SSU rRNA". It matches the Rfam family "Eukaryotic small subunit ribosomal RNA", at positions 591 to 1218 of the family's 1831-position model. The record is from RNAcentral.